AGUGAACGCUGGCGGUAGGCCUAACACAUGCAAGUCGAACGGCAGCACAGUAAGAGCUUGCUCUUACGGGUGGCGAGUGGCGGACGGGUGAGGAAUACAUCGGAAUCUACUUUUUCGUGGGGGAUAACGUAGGGAAACUUACGCUAAUACCGCAUACGACCUACGGGUGAAAGCAGGGGAUCUUCGGACCUUGCGCGAUUGAAUGAGCCGAUGUCGGAUUAGCUAGUUGGCGGGGUAAAGGCCCACCAAGGCGACGAUCCGUAGCUGGUCUGAGAGGAUGAUCAGCCACAAUGGAACUGAGACACGGUCCAGACUCCUACGGGAGGCAGCAGUGGGGAAUAUUUGACAAUGGGCGCAGGCCUGAUCCAGCCAUACCGCGUGGGUGAAGAAGGCCUUCGGGUUGUAAAGCCCUUUUGUUGGGAAAGAAAAGCAGCAGGUUAAUACCCCGCUGUUCUGACGGUACCCAAAGAAUAAGCACCGGCUAACUUCGUG
This 492-nucleotide ribosomal RNA is filed under the name uncultured bacterium. RNAcentral's name for it is "partial 16S ribosomal RNA". It matches the Rfam family "Bacterial small subunit ribosomal RNA", at positions 29 to 507 of the family's 1533-position model. The record is from RNAcentral.